UACGUAGGGACCGAGCGUUGUCCGGAUUCAUUGGGCGUAAAGAGCGUGUAGGCGGCCAGGUAGGUCUGGUGUGAAAACUCGAGGCUUAACCUCGAGAUGUCAUCGGAAACCAUCUGGCUAGAGUCCGGAAGAGGAGAGUGGAAUUCCUGGUGUAGCGGUGAAAUGCGCAGAUAUCAGGAAGAACACCAAUGGCGAAAGCAGCUCUCUGGGACGGUACUGACGCUGAGACGCGAAAGCGUGGGGAGCGAACAGG
RNAcentral lists this ribosomal RNA (253 nucleotides) under uncultured bacterium. Its description in RNAcentral is "partial 16S ribosomal RNA". It matches the Rfam family "Bacterial small subunit ribosomal RNA", at positions 524 to 776 of the family's 1533-position model. The record is from RNAcentral.